UUUGAAACACCAGUUCCCAUAUGGUCAGUAAAGUUAAGCAAUGUUGAGACUAGUCAGUACCUAGGUGGGUGACCACUUGGGAAAACCAAGUGCUGUCAG
This is a non-coding RNA of Acanthosepion pharaonis, 99 nucleotides long. Lineage: Eukaryota; Metazoa; Mollusca; Cephalopoda; Sepiida; Sepiidae. The record is from the annotation of a GenBank genome assembly.